This 372-nucleotide ribosomal RNA is filed under the name uncultured organism. Its description in RNAcentral is "bacterial SSU rRNA". It matches the Rfam family "Bacterial small subunit ribosomal RNA", at positions 526 to 896 of the family's 1533-position model. The record is from RNAcentral.
CGAAGGAUCCAAGCGUUGUCCGGAUUUACUGGGUUUAAAGGGAGCGUAGGCGGACUAUUAAGUCAGUGGUGAAAGCUUGCAGCUUAACUGUAAAAUUGCCAUUGAAACUGAUAGUCUUGAAUAUGGUUGAGGUGGUUGGAAUAUAUCAUGUAGCGGUGAAAUGCUUAGAUAUGAUAUAGAACACCGAUUGCGAAGGCAGAUCACUAAACCAUUAUUGACGCUGAGGCUCGAAAGCGUGGGGAGCAAACAGGAUUAGAUACCCUGGUAGUCCACGCUGUAAACGAUGGGCACUAGGUGUGGGGGGUAUCGACUCCCUCCGUGCCGAAGCUAACGCAUUAAGUGCCCCGCCUGGGGAGUACGGCCGCAAGGCUA